AUGGAUGAGGCUGGUGCCACGGACAGCAGGGCUAGUAAUGGUACUGAGGCUAAUGUUUCAGAUCACCAUACGAAUGAUGUUGGCUUGGAGCCCCCUGUUGUUGAUGAGACAAAUAAUAAUGUUGAGGCUGCUGUUGACCGUGGAGUUAAUGAUCCAUCUAUUGAUAAGUGCAAGGGUCCUGUUGUUGGCAACGAGCGUUGUUCGACCAUUGGUGAUGUUCCUUUGAAUGUUAGUAGUAGCAAGAUCGAUAAUGUUACUGUGAAUGCUGCUAAGAUGACUGAUGUUGAGCGUGAGGCUGCCGUUAGUGGUGGAGAUGAUGCUUGUGGUAUUCCUUGA
RNAcentral lists this ribosomal RNA (336 nucleotides) under Triticum aestivum (bread wheat). Its description in RNAcentral is "partial small subunit ribosomal RNA". Lineage: Eukaryota; Viridiplantae; Streptophyta; Magnoliopsida; Poales; Poaceae. The record is from RNAcentral.